CAGAAAGACCCUAUGCAGCUUUACUAUAAGCUGGUAUUGGGUUCUGAUUCUUAAUGCGUAGCAUAGGUGGGAGACUUUGAAACGAUGGCUUCGGUUGUCGUGGAGUCGUCAGUGAAAUACCACUCUUUAUUAAUUAGGAUUCUAACCCCGAUCCUGUGAAGCCAGGCGGGGAACAGUGCCUGCGGGUUAGUUUGACUGGGGCGGUUUCCUCCCAAAGAGUAACGGAGGAGCGCGAAGGUACUCUCAGCACGGUUGGCAAUCGUGCGUCGAGCGCAUGGGUAGAAGAGUGCUUAACUGUGAGACACACACGUCGAGCAGAUGCGAAAGCAGGCCCAAGUGAUCCGAUAGUUUAAUGUGGAAUUGCUAUCGCUCAACGGACAAAAGGUACGCUAGGGAUAACAGGCUGA
This 407-nucleotide ribosomal RNA is filed under the name uncultured Synechococcus sp. RNAcentral describes it as "partial 23S ribosomal RNA". It matches the Rfam family "Bacterial large subunit ribosomal RNA", at positions 2081 to 2485 of the family's 2925-position model. The record is from RNAcentral. Lineage: Bacteria; Bacillati; Cyanobacteriota; Cyanophyceae; Synechococcales; Synechococcaceae.